RNAcentral lists this ribosomal RNA (448 nucleotides) under Gemmula albina. RNAcentral describes it as "partial small subunit ribosomal RNA". It matches the Rfam family "Microsporidia small subunit ribosomal RNA", at positions 752 to 1303 of the family's 1311-position model. The record is from RNAcentral. Lineage: Eukaryota; Metazoa; Mollusca; Gastropoda; Neogastropoda; Turridae.
UCUUGGAUAUAAACUAAACUUAAUUUACCAGAGUACUAUGAAUAUAUUAAAAUUUAAAACUCAAAGGACUUGGCGGUGUUUUAGACCACUUAGGGGAACCUGUCUCAUAAUCGAUAAUCCACGUUAUACCUAACCUUUUUUUGCUUUCAGCUUGUAUAUCGUUGUCGUCAGGUAACUUUUUAGAAAUUAGAAGUUAGCUAAAAACAGUAAGUUUAAACGUCAAAUCAAGAUGCAGUUAAUAAAAUGGUGAGGAUGGGUUACAAUUAUUUUAAUUAUAAUUACGGAAGAUCAUAAGAAUUGAUGAUUAAUGAAGGAGGACUUAAAAGUAAAUUAGAUUAUAUAAAUAACUUGAAUAAGGCUCUGAAAUGUGCACACAUCGCCCGUCGCUCUUGUUGGAAAAUAAGAUAAGUCGUAACAUAGUAGGGGUAAUGGAAAUUGUCCCUAAAUU